This 2901-nucleotide ribosomal RNA is filed under the name Shigella flexneri K-304. RNAcentral describes it as "23S ribosomal RNA". Lineage: Bacteria; Pseudomonadati; Pseudomonadota; Gammaproteobacteria; Enterobacterales; Enterobacteriaceae. The record is from RNAcentral.
AAGGUUAAGCCUCACGGUUCAUUAGUACCGGUUAGCUCAACGCAUCGCUGCGCUUACACACCCGGCCUAUCAACGUCGUCGUCUUCAACGUUCCUUCAGGACCCUUAAAGGGUCAGGGAGAACUCAUCUCGGGGCAAGUUUCGUGCUUAGAUGCUUUCAGCACUUAUCUCUUCCGCAUUUAGCUACCGGGCAGUGCCAUUGGCAUGACAACCCGAACACCAGUGAUGCGUCCACUCCGGUCCUCUCGUACUAGGAGCAGCCCCCCUCAGUUCUCCAGCGCCCACGGCAGAUAGGGACCGAACUGUCUCACGACGUUCUAAACCCAGCUCGCGUACCACUUUAAAUGGCGAACAGCCAUACCCUUGGGACCUACUUCAGCCCCAGGAUGUGAUGAGCCGACAUCGAGGUGCCAAACACCGCCGUCGAUAUGAACUCUUGGGCGGUAUCAGCCUGUUAUCCCCGGAGUACCUUUUAUCCGUUGAGCGAUGGCCCUUCCAUUCAGAACCACCGGAUCACUAUGACCUGCUUUCGCACCUGCUCGCGCCGUCACGCUCGCAGUCAAGCUGGCUUAUGCCAUUGCACUAACCUCCUGAUGUCCGACCAGGAUUAGCCAACCUUCGUGCUCCUCCGUUACUCUUUAGGAGGAGACCGCCCCAGUCAAACUACCCACCAGACACUGUCCGCAACCCGGAUCACGGGUCCACGUUAGAACAUCAAACAUUAAAGGGUGGUAUUUCAAGGUCGGCUCCAUGCAGACUGGCGUCCACACUUCAAAGCCUCCCACCUAUCCUACACAUCAAGGCUCAAUGUUCAGUGUCAAGCUAUAGUAAAGGUUCACGGGGUCUUUCCGUCUUGCCGCGGGUACACUGCAUCUUCACAGCGAGUUCAAUUUCACUGAGUCUCGGGUGGAGACAGCCUGGCCAUCAUUACGCCAUUCGUGCAGGUCGGAACUUACCCGACAAGGAAUUUCGCUACCUUAGGACCGUUAUAGUUACGGCCGCCGUUUACCGGGGCUUCGAUCAAGAGCUUCGCUUGCGCUAACCCCAUCAAUUAACCUUCCGGCACCGGGCAGGCGUCACACCGUAUACGUCCACUUUCGUGUUUGCACAGUGCUGUGUUUUUAAUAAACAGUUGCAGCCAGCUGGUAUCUUCGACUGAUUUCAGCUCCACGAGCAAGUCGCUUCACCUACGUAUCAGCGUGCCUUCUCCCGAAGUUACGGCACCAUUUUGCCUAGUUCCUUCACCCGAGUUCUCUCAAGCGCCUUGGUAUUCUCUACCUGACCACCUGUGUCGGUUUGGGGUACGAUUUGAUGUUACCUGAUGCUUAGAGGCUUUUCCUGGAAGCAGGGCAUUUGUUGCUUCAGCACCGUAGUGCCUCGUCAUCACGCCUCGGCCUUGAUUUUCCGGAUUUGCCUGGAAAACCAGCCUACACGCUUAAACCGGGACAACCGUCGCCCGGCCAACAUAGCCUUCUCCGUCCCCCCUUCGCAGUAACACCAAGUACAGGAAUAUUAACCUGUUUCCCAUCGACUACGCCUUUCGGCCUCGCCUUAGGGGUCGACUCACCCUGCCCCGAUUAACGUUGGACAGGAACCCUUGGUCUUCCGGCGAGCGGGCUUUUCACCCGCUUUAUCGUUACUUAUGUCAGCAUUCGCACUUCUGAUACCUCCAGCAUACCUCACAGCACACCUUCACAGGCUUACAGAACGCUCCCCUACCCAACAACGCAUAAGCGUCGCUGCCGCAGCUUCGGUGCAUGGUUUAGCCCCGUUACAUCUUCCGCGCAGGCCGACUCGACCAGUGAGCUAUUACGCUUUCUUUAAAUGAUGGCUGCUUCUAAGCCAACAUCCUGGCUGUCUGGGCCUUCCCACAUCGUUUCCCACUUAACCAUGACUUUGGGACCUUAGCUGGCGGUCUGGGUUGUUUCCCUCUUCACGACGGACGUUAGCACCCGCCGUGUGUCUCCCGUGAUAACAUUCUCCGGUAUUCGCAGUUUGCAUCGGGUUGGUAAGUCGGGAUGACCCCCUUGCCGAAACAGUGCUCUACCCCCGGAGAUGAAUUCACGAGGCGCUACCUAAAUAGCUUUCGGGGAGAACCAGCUAUCUCCCGGUUUGAUUGGCCUUUCACCCCCAGCCACAAGUCAUCCGCUAAUUUUUCAACAUUAGUCGGUUCGGUCCUCCAGUUAGUGUUACCCAACCUUCAACCUGCCCAUGGCUAGAUCACCGGGUUUCGGGUCUAUACCCUGCAACUUAACGCCCAGUUAAGACUCGGUUUCCCUUCGGCUCCCCUAUUCGGUUAACCUUGCUACAGAAUAUAAGUCGCUGACCCAUUAUACAAAAGGUACGCAGUCACACGCCUAAGCGUGCUCCCACUGCUUGUACGUACACGGUUUCAGGUUCUUUUUCACUCCCCUCGCCGGGGUUCUUUUCGCCUUUCCCUCACGGUACUGGUUCACUAUCGGUCAGUCAGGAGUAUUUAGCCUUGGAGGAUGGUCCCCCCAUAUUCAGACAGGAUACCACGUGUCCCGCCCUACUCAUCGAGCUCACAGUAUGUGCAUUUUUGUGUACGGGGCUGUCACCCUGUAUCGCACGCCUUUCCAGACGCUUCCACUAACACACACACUGAUUCAGGCUCUGGGCUGCUCCCCGUUCGCUCGCCGCUACUGGGGAAUCUCGGUUGAUUUCUUUUCCUCGGGGUACUUAGAUGUUUCAGUUCCCCCGGUUCGCCUCAUUAACCUAUGGAUUCAGUUAAUGAUAGUGUGACGAAUCACACUGGGUUUCCCCAUUCGGAAAUCGCCGGUUAUAACGGUUCAUAUCACCUUACCGACGCUUAUCGCAGAUUAGCACGUCCUUCAUCGCCUCUGACUGCCAGGGCAUCCACCGUGUACGCUUAGUCGCUUAA